RNAcentral lists this long non-coding RNA (1351 nucleotides) under Lathyrus oleraceus (garden pea). RNAcentral describes it as "Pisum sativum (pea) long non-coding RNA (PSAT_LNC039655)". Lineage: Eukaryota; Viridiplantae; Streptophyta; Magnoliopsida; Fabales; Fabaceae. The record is from RNAcentral.
AAUUUCAUGGGUUUAACAAUAACAUUUUCAUCAUUCACAAAAUUCUAUCAAAUUUCAUGGGUUUAAAAAUAAAAUCUUCAUCAUUCACACAAUUCAAUCAAAUUUCAUGGGUUUAACAACAACAUUUUCAUAAUUCACACAAUUCACUCAAAUUUCAUGGAUUUAAUAGCAACAUUUUCAUCAUUCACACAAUUCAAUCAAAUUUCAUGGGUUUAACAACAAAAUCAUCAUCAUUCACACAAUUCAAUCAAAUUUCAUGGGUUUAACAACAACAUUUUCAUAAUUCACAAAAUUCAUUCAAAUUUCAUGGAUUUAAUAGCAACAUUUUCAUCAUUCCCACAAUUCAAUCAAAUAUCAUGGGUUGAAUAGUAACAUUUUCAUCAUUCCCACAAUUCAAUCAAAUUUCAUGGGUUUCACAAUAACAUUUUCAUCAUUCACAAAAUUCUAUCAAAUUUCAUGGGUGUAAAAAAAAAAUCUUCAUCAUUCCCACAAUUCAAUCAAAUUCCAUGGGAUUAAUAACAGUGUUUUCAUCAUUCAAUCAAUUCAAUCAAAUUUUAUUGGUUUUAAGAGCAACAAUUUCAUCAUUCCCACAAUUCAAUCAAAUAUCAUGGAUUUAAUAGCAACAUUUUCAUCAUUCCCUCAAUUCAAUCAAAUAUCAUGGGUUUAACAGUAACAUUUUCAUCAUUCCUACAAUUCAAUCACAUUUCAUGGCUUUAACAAUAACAUUUUCAUCAUUCACAAAAUUCUAUCAAAUUGCAUGGGUUUAAAAAUAAAAUCUUCAUCAUUCACACAAUUAAAUCAAAUUUCAUGGGUUUAACAACAACAAUUUCAUCAUGCGCAUAAAAAUAAAAUCUUCAUCAUUCACACAAUUAAAUCAAAUUUCAUGGGUUUAACAACAACAAUUUCAUCAUGCGCACAUUUUAACCAAUUUUCAUGAGUUUAACAACAAUAAUUUCAUCAUUUUCACAACUAAAUCAACUUUCAUGGGUUUAACAACAACAUUUUCAUCAUUGACACAAUUCAAUCAAAUUUCAUGGGUUUAAUAGCAACAUUUUCAUAAUUUACACAAUUCAAUCAAAUUUCAUGGGUUUAACAAUAACAUUUUCAUCAUUCACAAAAUUUUAUCAAAUUUCAUGGGUUUAAAAUUAAAGUCUUCGUCAUUACACACAAUUCAAUCAAAUUUCAUGGGUUUAACAACAACAUUUUCAUAAUUCACACAAUUCAUUCAAAUUUCAUGGAUUUAAUAGCAACAUUUUAAUCAUUCACACAAUUCAAUCAAAUUUCAUAGGUCUAAGAACAAAAUCAUCAUCAUUCACACAAUUCAAUCAAAUUUCAUGGGUUUAACAACAAC